Molecule: ribosomal RNA, 274 nt
Filed under: uncultured bacterium
Lineage: Bacteria
Description: partial 16S ribosomal RNA
Rfam family: Bacterial small subunit ribosomal RNA
Source: RNAcentral
AUACAGAGGGUGCGAGCGUUAAUCGGAAUUACUGGGCGUAAAGCGCGCGUAGGCGGCUUAUUAAGUCAGAUGUGAAAUCCCCGGGCUCAACCUGGGAACUGCAUCUGAUACUGGUAAGCUAGAGUUUUGGAGAGGGAAGUAGAAUUUCAGGUGUAGCGGUGAAAUGCAUAAAGAUCUGAAGGAAUACCAGUGGCGAAGGCGACUUCCUGGCCAAAAACUGACGCUGAGGUGCGAAAGCGUGGGUAGCAAACGGGAGUAGAAACCCCUGUAGUCC